This 456-nucleotide long non-coding RNA is filed under the name Ricinus communis (castor bean). RNAcentral describes it as "long non-coding RNA (RCOM_LNC001906)". Lineage: Eukaryota; Viridiplantae; Streptophyta; Magnoliopsida; Malpighiales; Euphorbiaceae. The record is from RNAcentral.
UAGGAGGAAGGGUCGUCAAGAGAUGGCAUGAUAGGAGAUGUAAAUAACAGAGACAAAGAAAAACCUAAAAGAUCGUUUUUCAGCCUUCUCGUCGAAGAAGUGUGCUUUGCUCUCCAUGGAGUGGUCUUUCUGGUUCUUCACUUUCUGCUGCUUUCCUCUCCUGUCUUUACACCCACUAAACAGAACCCAACCGCUAACAUUUCUAAAAGCCCCUACUAACAGUGUAUUAGCCUUCUUCGUCGUAAUCUUCCUCCUCCUCAUCUAUUCUUGUGCCUAGUUGUGCAAGCUGAAGAGGGUCAAUGGCCAUCUUAUCCAUUUCAGAAAGUGACCAACCAGGAUAUUCUUCAUGAUUAGGUUCAGCAACAGGCGCCACUGAUGAGCUUUCAGCCACCAUUAUUGUUGUUGAUGUUGUUGUUAUUGUUGUUGCUGCUGCUGUCGUUGUUGUUGCUGCUGCUG